UCCCUGGUAGGUCAGAUGGUAAAUAAUCUGCCUGCAAUGCAGGAGACCCGGGUUCGAUCCCUGGGUCAGGGAA
This is a non-coding RNA of Bos taurus (domestic cattle), 73 nucleotides long. NCBI's taxonomy places the organism in Eukaryota, Metazoa, Chordata, Mammalia, Artiodactyla, Bovidae. The record is from Rfam.